RNAcentral lists this ribosomal RNA (216 nucleotides) under Glomeromycotina sp. RNAcentral describes it as "partial small subunit ribosomal RNA". The stretch from base 92 to 216 matches the Rfam family "Eukaryotic small subunit ribosomal RNA", at positions 738 to 864 of the family's 1831-position model. Lineage: Eukaryota; Fungi; Glomeromycota. The record is from RNAcentral.
GGGUCAGUAGGCUGGUCGUGCCACCGGUACGUACUGGUCUCACUGAUUCCUCCUCCCUGAAGAACCGUAAUGCCAUUAAUUUGGUGUCGCGGGGAAACAGGACUGUUCCUUUGAAAAAAUUAGAGUGUUUAAAGCAAGCUAACGCUUGAAUACAUUAGCAUGGAAUAAUGAAAUAGGACGAUCGAUCCUAUUUUGUUGGUUUCUAGGAUUGACGUA